Molecule: ribosomal RNA, 2903 nt
Filed under: Escherichia coli DEC13B
Lineage: Bacteria; Pseudomonadati; Pseudomonadota; Gammaproteobacteria; Enterobacterales; Enterobacteriaceae
Description: bacterial LSU rRNA
Rfam family: Bacterial large subunit ribosomal RNA
Source: RNAcentral
UUAAGCGACUAAGCGUACACGGUGGAUGCCCUGGCAGUCAGAGGCGAUGAAGGACGUGCUAAUCUGCGAUAAGCGUCGGUAAGGUGAUAUGAACCGUUAUAACCGGCGAUUUCCGAAUGGGGAAACCCAGUGUGUUUCGACACACUAUCAUUAACUGAAUCCAUAGGUUAAUGAGGCGAACCGGGGGAACUGAAACAUCUAAGUACCCCGAGGAAAAGAAAUCAACCGAGAUUCCCCCAGUAGCGGCGAGCGAACGGGGAGCAGCCCAGAGCCUGAAUCAGUGUGUGUGUUAGUGGAAGCGUCUGGAAAGGCGCGCGAUACAGGGUGACAGCCCCGUACACAAAAAUGCACAUGCUGUGAGCUCGAUGAGUAGGGCGGGACACGUGGUAUCCUGUCUGAAUAUGGGGGGACCAUCCUCCAAGGCUAAAUACUCCUGACUGACCGAUAGUGAACCAGUACCGUGAGGGAAAGGCGAAAAGAACCCCGGCGAGGGGAGUGAAAAAGAACCUGAAACCGUGUACGUACAAGCAGUGGGAGCACAGAGCAAUCUGUGUGACUGCGUACCUUUUGUAUAAUGGGUCAGCGGCUUAUAUUCUGUAGCAAGGUUAACCGAAUAGGGGAGCCGAAGGGAAACCGAGUCUUAACUGGGCGUUAAGUUGCAGGGUAUAGACCCGAAACCCGGUGAUCUAGCCAUGGGCAGGUUGAAGGUUGGGUAACACUAACUGGAGGACCGAACCGACUAAUGUUGAAAAAUUAGCGGAUGACUUGUGGCUGGGGGUGAAAGGCCAAUCAAACCGGGAGAUAGCUGGUUCUCCCCGAAAGCUAUUUAGGUAGCGCCUCGUGAAUUCAUCUCCGGGGGUAGAGCACUGUUUCGGCAAGGGGGUCAUCCCGACUUACCAACCCGAUGCAAACUGCGAAUACCGGAGAAUGUUAUCACGGGAGACACACGGCGGGUGCUAACGUCCGUCGUGAAGAGGGAAACAACCCAGACCGCCAGCUAAGGUCCCAAAGUCAUGGUUAAGUGGGAAACGAUGUGGGAAGGCCCAGACAGCCAGGAUGUUGGCUUAGAAGCAGCCAUCAUUUAAAGAAAGCGUAAUAGCUCACUGGUCGAGUCGGCCUGCGCGGAAGAUGUAACGGGGCUAAACCAUGCACCGAAGCUGCGGCAGCGACGCUUAUGCGUUGUUGGGUAGGGGAGCGUUCUGUAAGCCUGCGAAGGUGUGCUGUGAGGCAUGCUGGAGGUAUCAGAAGUGCGAAUGCUGACAUAAGUAACGAUAAAGCGGGUGAAAAGCCCGCUCGCCGGAAGACCAAGGGUUCCUGUCCAACGUUAAUCGGGGCAGGGUGAGUCGACCCCUAAGGCGAGGCCGAAAGGCGUAGUCGAUGGGAAACAGGUUAAUAUUCCUGUACUUGGUGUUACUGCGAAGGGGGGACGGAGAAGGCUAUGUUGGCCGGGCGACGGUUGUCCCGGUUUAAGCGUGUAGGCUGGUUUUCCAGGCAAAUCCGGAAAAUCAAGGCUGAGGCGUGAUGACGAGGCACUACGGUGCUGAAGCAACAAAUGCCCUGCUUCCAGGAAAAGCCUCUAAGCAUCAGGUAACAUCAAAUCGUACCCCAAACCGACACAGGUGGUCAGGUAGAGAAUACCAAGGCGCUUGAGAGAACUCGGGUGAAGGAACUAGGCAAAAUGGUGCCGUAACUUCGGGAGAAGGCACGCUGAUAUGUAGGUGAAGUCCCUCGCGGAUGGAGCUGAAAUCAGUCGAAGAUACCAGCUGGCUGCAACUGUUUAUUAAAAACACAGCACUGUGCAAACACGAAAGUGGACGUAUACGGUGUGACGCCUGCCCGGUGCCGGAAGGUUAAUUGAUGGGGUUAGCGCAAGCGAAGCUCUUGAUCGAAGCCCCGGUAAACGGCGGCCGUAACUAUAACGGUCCUAAGGUAGCGAAAUUCCUUGUCGGGUAAGUUCCGACCUGCACGAAUGGCGUAAUGAUGGCCAGGCUGUCUCCACCCGAGACUCAGUGAAAUUGAACUCGCUGUGAAGAUGCAGUGUACCCGCGGCAAGACGGAAAGACCCCGUGAACCUUUACUAUAGCUUGACACUGAACAUUGAGCCUUGAUGUGUAGGAUAGGUGGGAGGCUUUGAAGUGUGGACGCCAGUCUGCAUGGAGCCGACCUUGAAAUACCACCCUUUAAUGUUUGAUGUUCUAACGUGGACCCGUAAUCCGGGUUGCGGACAGUGUCUGGUGGGUAGUUUGACUGGGGCGGUCUCCUCCUAAAGAGUAACGGAGGAGCACGAAGGUUGGCUAAUCCUGGUCGGACAUCAGGAGGUUAGUGCAAUGGCAUAAGCCAGCUUGACUGCGAGCGUGACGGCGCGAGCAGGUGCGAAAGCAGGUCAUAGUGAUCCGGUGGUUCUGAAUGGAAGGGCCAUCGCUCAACGGAUAAAAGGUACUCCGGGGAUAACAGGCUGAUACCGCCCAAGAGUUCAUAUCGACGGCGGUGUUUGGCACCUCGAUGUCGGCUCAUCACAUCCUGGGGCUGAAGUAGGUCCCAAGGGUAUGGCUGUUCGCCAUUUAAAGUGGUACGCGAGCUGGGUUUAGAACGUCGUGAGACAGUUCGGUCCCUAUCUGCCGUGGGCGCUGGAGAAUGAGGGGGGCUGCUCCUAGUACGAGAGGACCGGAGUGGACGCAUCACUGGUGUUCGGGUUGUCAUGCCAAUGGCACUGCCCGGUAGCUAAAUGCGGAAGAGAUAAGUGCUGAAAGCAUCUAAGCACGAAACUUGCCCCGAGAUGAGUUCUCCCUGACUCCUUGAGAGUCCUGAAGGAACGUUGAAGACGACGACGUUGAUAGGCCGGGUGUGUAAGCGCAGCGAUGCGUUGAGCUAACCGGUACUAAUGAACCGUGAGGCUUAACCUU